Molecule: ribosomal RNA, 118 nt
Filed under: Malus domestica (apple)
Lineage: Eukaryota; Viridiplantae; Streptophyta; Magnoliopsida; Rosales; Rosaceae
Source: RNAcentral
GGAUGCGAUCAUACCAGCUCACAUGCACCGGAUCCCAUCCGAACUCCGAAGUUAAACGAGUUUGGGCGAGAGUAGUACUAGGGUGGUGAUCUCCUGGGAAGUUCUCGUGUUGCAUCCC